ACUGCUCUUAGAGGCAUUCUGGGUGUGGCUUCUGUGUCGCAUGUGCAUUAUUAAGUGGCAGAGAGGAGGCUAUGUCUAAACUCAAUUUUAUGAUCUAUGAAUACCAAAAUGAUUAGUAGCCUAACAUU
Molecule: non-coding RNA, 128 nt
Organism: Arvicanthis niloticus (Nile rat)
Lineage: Eukaryota; Metazoa; Chordata; Mammalia; Rodentia; Muridae
Source: RefSeq, a predicted model, not a curated record